This 262-nucleotide ribosomal RNA is filed under the name uncultured bacterium. RNAcentral describes it as "partial 16S ribosomal RNA". It matches the Rfam family "Bacterial small subunit ribosomal RNA", at positions 92 to 354 of the family's 1533-position model. The record is from RNAcentral.
UUGGUGGCGGACGGGUGAGUAACGCGUGGAAAACCUGCCGUAUACUGGGGGAUAACACUUAGAAAUAGGUGCUAAUACCGCAUAAGCGCACAGCUUCGCAUGAAGCGGUGUGAAAAACUCUGGUGGUAUACGAUGGUUCCGCGUCUGAUUAACUAGUUGGUGGGGUAAUGGCCUACCAAGGCAACGAUCAGUAGCCGGCCUGAGAGGGUGAACGGCCACAUUGGGACUGAGACACGGCCCAAACUCCUACGGGAGGCAGCAG